This 860-nucleotide ribosomal RNA is filed under the name Fusarium chlamydosporum var. chlamydosporum. Its description in RNAcentral is "LSU rRNA". It matches the Rfam family "Eukaryotic large subunit ribosomal RNA", at positions 74 to 965 of the family's 3401-position model. Lineage: Eukaryota; Fungi; Ascomycota; Sordariomycetes; Hypocreales; Nectriaceae. The record is from RNAcentral.
AUUGCCCUAGUAACGGCGAGUGAAGCGGCAACAGCUCAAAUUUGAAAUCUGGCUCUCGGGCCCGAGUUGUAAUUUGUAGAGGAUGCUUUUGAUGCGGUGCCUUCCGAGUUCCCUGGAACGGGACGCCAUAGAGGGUGAGAGCCCCGUCUGGUUGGAUGCCAAAUCUCUGUAAAGCUCCUUCGACGAGUCGAGUAGUUUGGGAAUGCUGCUCUAAAUGGGAGGUAUAUGUCUUCUAAAGCUAAAUAUUGGCCAGAGACCGAUAGCGCACAAGUAGAGUGAUCGAAAGAUGAAAAGCACUUUGAAAAGAGAGUUAAAAAGUACGUGAAAUUGUUGAAAGGGAAGCGUUUAUGACCAGACUUGGGCUUGGUUAAUCAUCUGGGGUUCUCCCCAGUGCACUUUUCCAGUCCAGGCCAGCAUCAGUUUUCGCCGGGGGAUAAAGGCUUCGGGAAUGUGGCUCUCUCCGGGGAGUGUUAUAGCCCGUUGCGUAAUACCCUGGCGGGGACUGAGGUUCGCGCAUCUGCAAGGAUGCUGGCGUAAUGGUCAUCAACGACCCGUCUUGAAACACGGACCAAGGAGUCGUCUUCGUAUGCGAGUGUUCGGGUGUCAAACCCCUACGCGUAAUGAAAGUGAACGCAGGUGAGAGCUUCGGCGCAUCAUCGACCGAUCCUGAUGUUCUCGGAUGGAUUUGAGUAAGAGCAUACGGGGCCGGACCCGAAAGAAGGUGAACUAUGCCUGUGUAGGGUGAAGCCAGAGGAAACUCUGUGGAGGCUCGCAGCGGUUCUGACGUGCAAAUCGAUCGUCAAACAUGGGCAUGGGGGCGAAAGACUAAUCGAACCUUCUAGUAGCUGGUUUCCGCCGAA